UUUAACUGAAGAGUUUGAUCAUGGCUCAGAUUGAACGCUGGCGGCAGGCUUAACACAUGCAAGUCGAGCGGGGGAAGGUAGCUUGCUACUGGACCUAGCGGCGGACGGGUGAGUAAUGCUUAGGAAUCUGCCUAUUAGUGGGGGACAACA
RNAcentral lists this ribosomal RNA (150 nucleotides) under Acinetobacter baumannii. RNAcentral's name for it is "partial 16S ribosomal RNA". It matches the Rfam family "Bacterial small subunit ribosomal RNA", at positions 1 to 148 of the family's 1533-position model. The record is from RNAcentral. Lineage: Bacteria; Pseudomonadati; Pseudomonadota; Gammaproteobacteria; Moraxellales; Moraxellaceae.